ACCUAACCUCACCUUUUUCUUUAGCCAAUAAGAAAGUUGCCAUAGCUAUAUGCAGGCUCAUACCUGACAUCUGUGGGUGUCCAACCACUUUCUUCCUCCAGCUCCAUCCUACACUUGGGGUCCUGCAUGCAUGGGUGAAGACACCAGCACACGGUGAGAGCACAGUCAACACUCAAAAAGAGAGAGCCACAGAAGACUCCCCUGCGGGCUUGGGUCAGAGGCUCAAGGCCCCUAAGGACCUAGGGAAUUCUGAGAUUCUGGGGACUCAGAUGGGCUCUAGAGAGCACCUUACAAGAGCCCUGGAACAGCAGCACAGGCAGUGUAUUUGCAGGCUGUCAGAGGAGGAGCAAGGAACAGGGACCUGACAGUUUCAAGAAAGUGCUAUGAGUCCUGCGAUCAGCAGUUCCACUCAGGACCAGCAGAGAGGUGAAUGGAAAAUGAAGAGAGGUUGGAAGUCCAGGCAUUGACUGUCUAUGUUGUCAAGGAAGAGUGGGGAGGGGGAAAUUAGUCUGUGGUCACCGAUAAAGAAGGUGAGUUCCAAGGCACCUGGGUGGCUCAGUCAGUUAAGA
RNAcentral lists this long non-coding RNA (569 nucleotides) under Felis catus (domestic cat). RNAcentral describes it as "lncRNA (ENSFCAG00000048617.1)". The record is from RNAcentral. Lineage: Eukaryota; Metazoa; Chordata; Mammalia; Carnivora; Felidae.